RNAcentral lists this long non-coding RNA (210 nucleotides) under Gossypium raimondii (Peruvian cotton). RNAcentral's name for it is "long non-coding RNA (GRAI_LNC003243)". Lineage: Eukaryota; Viridiplantae; Streptophyta; Magnoliopsida; Malvales; Malvaceae. The record is from RNAcentral.
GGGGAGGUGGAGAGUUUUGGUUUUUUUUAUUUCUUAUUUUUUUUAAAGCAGAUUAGAAUAAGAUUUAGGGAUUUUUUUAGUUUUUAUAGCAUUUAAAACGGCGCCGUUUUAGCCCCAUAACCCGCGCGUCGACCCGACCCGCGACCCAGGGUCCGCGUUUUUUUGUGCAGGUGGGUUAUUUACGUGCGCGGUCCUUCCGCUUUUGAAGCG